UACACUCCUGCGGGAGGCAGCAGUGGGGAAUUUUGGCCAAUGGGCGAAAGCCUGAUCCAGCAAUGCCGCGUGUGUGAAGAAGGCCUUCGGGUUGUAAAGCACUUUUGUCCGGAAAGAAAUCCUUGGCUCUAAUACAGUCGGGGGAUGACGGUACCGGAAGAAUAAGCACCGGCUAACUACGUGCCAGCAGCCGCGGUAAUACGUAGGGUGCGAGCGUUAAUCGGAAUUACUGGGCGUAAAGCGUGCGCAGGCGGUUUGCUAAGACCGAUGUGAAAUCCCCGGGCUCAACCUGGGAACUGCAUUGGUGACUGGCAGGCUAGAGUAUGGCAGAGGGGGGUAGAAUUCCACGUGUAGCAGUGAAAUGCGUAGAGAUGUGGAGGAAUACCGAUGGCGAAGGCAGCCCCCUGGGCCAAUACUGACGCUCACGCACGAAAGCGUGGGGAGCAAACAGGAUUAGAUACCCCUGUAGUCCCA
RNAcentral lists this ribosomal RNA (474 nucleotides) under uncultured organism. RNAcentral's name for it is "partial 16S ribosomal RNA". It matches the Rfam family "Bacterial small subunit ribosomal RNA", at positions 332 to 797 of the family's 1533-position model. The record is from RNAcentral.